CGGGGUGUAGCUCAGUCUGGUAGAGUGCAUCGUUCGGGACGAUGAAGCCGUAGGUUCAAAUCCUAUCACCCCGACCA
This 77-nucleotide transfer RNA is filed under the name Rhodospirillaceae bacterium. RNAcentral describes it as "tRNA-Pro". It matches the Rfam family "tRNA". Rfam says of the family: Transfer RNA (tRNA) molecules are approximately 80 nucleotides in length. Their secondary structure includes four short double-helical elements and three loops (D, anti-codon, and T loops). RNAcentral also lists the same sequence under 1 other name. Lineage: Bacteria; Pseudomonadati; Pseudomonadota; Alphaproteobacteria; Rhodospirillales; Rhodospirillaceae. The record is from RNAcentral.